UUUUUAGAUUAUUGCUGAUGUCUUUCCCUCACCUAAAAGCAAAGAUGCUUUCCGUCUCGCGUAAUGUCAUCGGGGAAGCAGUGCGCAAGGAAAUGCUGUGCUGUAGGACACCGUGCGCCUCGUCGAGCCGUGCGGCCCCCCCCACCCCGGUGCGACGAGCACGGAGGCUCCGCCAGCAGGAGGGCAGUAAAUGUGGCACCUUCACCAAAACCGGGUCAGGGAGGAGACGGGACCGCUGGUAUCGAUGGAGGGGGUUUUCCUUCGACUUCUGUUCCACGUCAGUGCGUUCUGGGGAAGCAAUUGCAGAGCUGCUGUUGAUAUAUAUGUGUUCGUAUGUAUAUGGAACGUUCUCUCUUCACUGAGCAAUGUGGCCAAGCAGGUCAGUGAAGUACGGUGUAUAGGGCUGCAGUUAUGUCGUUCCUGGGAAAGCCAGGAUUCCUGUUUGCAGAAGUCACGCAUGAACAUGAACACUGAUCUCCUCCUGUUCUUAAUUUUUAAUUUUGUAUUUUGUUUAGAUCUGUGUAUUUCACAAAUUAAAAAGGGCGAAGCCUGAGUGCCCACCAAGGCCGGGUGCGUGAGACUCACACCAUCAGCUGGUGGCUGCCGUAGCUGGGCCAAGGUGUCCAUACAUUCAUGCUCCGCAGAAGGCAUGCUGAGGCUCCGGGAGGCCUGGGAAGUGGCGGCUGGUCUCCUGUCUCUCUGGGUUUCCUGUCUCACACACCACCAGCCCUUCAUGAGCUUCCCCUAACUGGGACUUGACAAGCUCGGCUACCACGGUGGUGAUUGCAAGGUAAGAACCUCAGCAAAGUCCAUUUCAGUACUGCCGUUCCUCCAAGUCCAGUGGAUGGGUGCCAGUGAGGACAAAACUAAGCCCAUAUAACCAUACUCAGAGAAAACAUGCAGUAAGUGGACAUGUAAGGUCAUUUGCAGCUUGGUCAAAGGCUCUGGGUUUAAGUUGCUCUAUGGCAGGAGCUGAGGAGAUGUUUUGAAUGUACUGUGGACAGAGAGCUGUGUACAUCGGGCUAACUGUGUCCUUAGGUUUCCCAGAGCCUCACCUCUGCUGUCCUCUCCAAGGCUUCCUCCAUGAACUAACUGCACCUUGUGAGAACGCUUGAAAACAUGUCUGUCCUCAGCAGCCCCAGGAGAGCAACAUCUCAGGCCUUCCGAGCGCAGUACCCGGAGGGAAGGGCACAAGGAAUUGUCCCCAGCCGCGAACCAAGGCGAAAAUUUCCACCGUGCAGCUCUCCAGCGUUGAUGACCACGUCUCGGCAGGGCAGAGGAGCCGCGCGCGGGCAGGACCACGGCUCGCCCGCCCAGGGCAGGGGCCCGUGCCGGCUCUGCCGCAGGCGCCGCGGGGACGGGGCGGGAAACGGGCACGGGGAGGUGCACACGGAGAGAAACACUGUCUGCUCCCAAAUAAGCCAUUUGGACCACGUCAGGUUGGUUUUCCUGUUUACUGUCUACAUGGAAAAUAGGAAGAGAGUAAAAAAAGAAAAACCUCACCCCAGUCACUAUAAAAAGAGCCGUUGUGUGGGCACCCAGGAAUUAUACCUUUUUGUUUUUCUUGCUAAUCUAGUACAGCCUUGGUGGAGACCAGGUGCAUGGUCAGCAGGCAGUAAUGGCAGUAACGCCAAUAAAGAGGGAUGCUGGUAAUAGUAACUAACUCCCCUGCAGGAGCUAUUUCUUGCACAGAAAGCUGGGCUGGGACCUGUUCACCAACGGGCUGGUGAACGCCUGUGUCGGUGUUUCCCCAAGCGUGGGAGUCAUGGAGGAGCCACGCAGGGUUUGUGUCGGUGGUGUGCUGGGCCGCGGGGGACAUGAGACCCACACAUCAAUAUACCUGAGAUAUCAAGCAACAAAAGGCAGAAGGGAAGACGUUAUUUUAAUUUAGAUGAAAAGCAGCUUAGCUCUCAAGUGUAUGGGAAGCAUCCUGAGCUAAUGGCUUUGGCAGAGGCAGCAACCUUCUGGUACAGACUUAGUGUAGUUCCUACCGGCCUGUUGGCAGGAAGGUUUCCUUACCUCGAGUCAGGUUUGUUUCUAAAGACCCGCAAACUUAACCUACUGGUCUACUUUGCCUGUGGUGUACUACGGAGAGAGAUGCUGCAGGAGAGUAAUAUAGAGAUAUUGAAACGGGAGCCAGAGUUGAGCU
Dromaius novaehollandiae (emu) is the source of this 2149-nucleotide long non-coding RNA. RefSeq lists it as uncharacterized. The transcript is spliced from 3 exons. NCBI's taxonomy places the organism in Eukaryota, Metazoa, Chordata, Aves, Casuariiformes, Dromaiidae. The record is from RefSeq and is a predicted model, not a curated record.